GGCGACAUAGCCAAGUGGUAAGGCCGAGGACUGCAAAUCCUCUAUCUUCAGUUCGACUCUGAAUGUCGCCUCCA
This 74-nucleotide transfer RNA is filed under the name Selenomonas sp. RNAcentral describes it as "tRNA-Cys". It matches the Rfam family "tRNA". From Rfam's summary of the family: Transfer RNA (tRNA) molecules are approximately 80 nucleotides in length. Their secondary structure includes four short double-helical elements and three loops (D, anti-codon, and T loops). The record is from RNAcentral. Lineage: Bacteria; Bacillati; Bacillota; Negativicutes; Selenomonadales; Selenomonadaceae.